Molecule: long non-coding RNA, 262 nt
Filed under: Sorghum bicolor (sorghum)
Lineage: Eukaryota; Viridiplantae; Streptophyta; Magnoliopsida; Poales; Poaceae
Description: long non-coding RNA (SBIC_LNC008033)
Source: RNAcentral
GAUGAGAUCUAUAACUUUUUAGUUUUGAGUUUUUUCAUUGAAGUCGUUAAGAUGCUCAAAAACAUUAAUGGCAUAUUUAGUCCUAAGGGUAUUUGUCUUUUUACACUUGCAGUUUAACACCGUUAGAGUCCAAUCUAACGGCAGUGGCAUGAAAGGCAAAAAAAAAAAAAUUGGAGCUGUAGUGUUGAAAUCUGUUGAACUUUUUUAGUUGCUGGCAAGAAACUGUUAUCUUUUAUAAUGGCUCGGAGGGAAUUUCCUCACG